GACUUGAUAUCCUCAAGGUUUGACCGCCUGUUGUCCUAAAGUGAGACAAGACUGUAAAUCUUGAGGUCGCUGGUUCGAUCCCGGCUCGGGGGACCA
RNAcentral lists this transfer RNA (96 nucleotides) under Puccinia triticina 1-1 BBBD Race 1. Its description in RNAcentral is "tRNA-Tyr (GTA) (tRNA-Tyr-GTA-20-1)". The record is from RNAcentral. Lineage: Eukaryota; Fungi; Basidiomycota; Pucciniomycetes; Pucciniales; Pucciniaceae.